GGAUGUAUAGUGCAGCUGUAGAGUGCAUGCUUUGCAUGCAAGAGGUCCUGGGUUCAAUCUCCAGUACCUCCA
Molecule: transfer RNA, 72 nt
Filed under: Camelus bactrianus (Bactrian camel)
Lineage: Eukaryota; Metazoa; Chordata; Mammalia; Artiodactyla; Camelidae
Also listed under: 1 other name
Rfam family: tRNA
About the family: Transfer RNA (tRNA) molecules are approximately 80 nucleotides in length. Their secondary structure includes four short double-helical elements and three loops (D, anti-codon, and T loops).
Source: Rfam by way of RNAcentral